AUACGGAGGGUGCAAGCGUUAAUCGGAAUUACUGGGCGUAAAGCGCGCGUAGGCGGUUAUUUAAGUCAGAUGUGAAAUCCCUGGGCUCAACCUAGGAACUGCAUCUGAUACUGGGUAACUAGAGUUUUGGAGAGGUAAGUGGAAUUUCCGGUGUAGCGGUGAAAUGCGUAGAGAUCGGAAGGAACACCAGUGGCGAAGGCGACUUACUGGCCAAAAACUGACGCUGAGGUGCGAAAGCGUGGGUAGCAAACAGGAUUAGAAACCCUAGUAGUCC
This 274-nucleotide ribosomal RNA is filed under the name uncultured bacterium. Its description in RNAcentral is "partial 16S ribosomal RNA". It matches the Rfam family "Bacterial small subunit ribosomal RNA", at positions 523 to 796 of the family's 1533-position model. The record is from RNAcentral.